GAAUUGCGAAAAGUGAUGUGAAUUGCAGAAUCUCGUGAAUCAUCGAAUCUUUGAACGCACCUUGCACUUUCUGGUCCUCCAGAAAGUAUGCCUGUUUGAGUAUCAUGUACACCCCUCACUCUGCUGAAGGGCGCUGUGGCAUCAUCCCCACGGCGCACUCGACAGCGGCAGUGGACCUGGGCUUCCAGCGUGUCUCGUCUCGAGAUGCACCCGGCUGGUCGUCUGAAAUGCAGCGUUGUCGUGCUUGGCACUGUCUGUACCGGCGUAUUAGUUCGCUUCGAUUCUUUACGCAUCAACGGUCAGGCGCAGCUUGCGGCAGCGACCCCACCACAACAGAGCACGGACUGGCGCAGCUGCUUCAGUCUGUCUCCUACUAUUGAUCUCAAAUCAGGCAAGAAUUACCCGCUGAAUUUAA
Molecule: unclassified non-coding RNA, 415 nt
Filed under: uncultured Microbotryomycetes
Lineage: Eukaryota; Fungi; Basidiomycota; Microbotryomycetes
Description: sequence contains ITS1
Rfam family: 5.8S ribosomal RNA (bases 1-105)
Source: RNAcentral